CAGGCUUAAAGAGGGUAAAUUUAGGUUGGAUAUAAGGAAAAAAUCUUCUACAGUGAGGGUGGUGAGACACUGGAACAGGUUGGACAGAGAUGUGGUGGAUGCCCCAUCCAUGGAGACUUUCAAGUGCUACAGGAUGAGCUACAACAGUAAGCCUCCUGACAAGGUCAAACAGGAACCAGAGAACCAGAGACAACUGGAGAGAGACCCUCUUCUACCUGCCAAGUUCCAUGACCGAG
Molecule: long non-coding RNA, 236 nt
Filed under: Gallus gallus (chicken)
Lineage: Eukaryota; Metazoa; Chordata; Aves; Galliformes; Phasianidae
Source: RNAcentral